AAUAGACCAAUUUUUCACUUUUUAUAUACAAUUUUUGACUCUUCGUCUUAUUAAAAAAAAUUUGUGAUUGAUAUUUUUGUUUUUAUUAGAUGAUAAAUCAUAAAUAGUAUUUUACGUGUGACUAAUUUUUUUUUAAUUUUCUAAAAAUUUUUUAAAUAAAACGGAUGCUCAAACGUUGAACACGAAACCG
Molecule: microRNA precursor, 190 nt
Filed under: Oryza brachyantha (malo sina)
Lineage: Eukaryota; Viridiplantae; Streptophyta; Magnoliopsida; Poales; Poaceae
Description: MIR812 microRNA precursor family
Rfam family: MIR812 microRNA precursor family
Source: Rfam by way of RNAcentral